GCUGGGUGCAGUGGUUCAUGCCUGUAAUCCCAGCAGCUUGGGAGGCUGAGAUAGGAGGAUCCCAGAUUCAAAGCCAGCCUCAUCAACAGGGAGGCGCUAAGCAACUCAGUGAGACCCUGUCUCUA
Molecule: small RNA, 125 nt
Filed under: Marmota monax (woodchuck)
Lineage: Eukaryota; Metazoa; Chordata; Mammalia; Rodentia; Sciuridae
Source: RNAcentral